AACUUCUAGAGCGCAUGCGUUUCGCCCACCCAGGCCCGGGCGCGGUUAGGGGUGACUCCCACGAUCCCUAGCGGCUGCAGAGUGGAACAUGGCGGCCUCCUUGCCGCUUGCGUUACCAGAGUCCACCCGGCCUCGUGCUUUCUCCGGGCGCCCGUAGCUGGCGCCGGCAUCCACAAAAAUAGAUCAGACAGAGGAUGAAUAAAGAGGAAGCUCCAGGCUGUGAAGCGUCUAGUCCUUGCUCCCCUCAGAAGCUGGGACAUGUUGGACCAAGGUGGUAAGGAUAGUGAGAGGCCAAAGAUUUAACAAUAUACUGUGAUGCUGGGGCUGGGAGGAGAUUGCACCUUUAUAGCCUGGUGGUGGCAGUCCAGAGUGCAACCCCUAGAGAUGGUAACUUGACAAGACCUCUCAAAAACACUACACACAGCUUUUGAGCCCCUCAUCCCACUUCUGAGAGUAAGUCCUAUGGCAACAUGUGCACACGUGGAAAAUGAAGUCUGUACAAGUUUCCCAGAAGCUGGACAAGCCACGACGGCGCCUUCCAAUAAAAGGGGAACUCCAGAGACGCUAUGAGAAAAGAGGAACAGACAUCUGCAAUAGAUAUCUGCAACUUCCUUUUCAAAAACACCAUCGGCAUUGCUUUCUCAGGAAGCCACUGCCAGCCUAUUGUGAUAGCUGACACUGAGUUCCUGAGAAUUCUCUAAUUAGGAUCCCAGAUUGGAGGGUCAGCCAGUGGUUAACAUAUAAUGGACACAAAACUGAUUUUACUGGAAGACUGAGGGUGGGCACUCACCAUGGUUCUAAGCAUUCAUUACUCAGAAGAUCCAUAAAAACAUUACAGUUCUGUUGUGUAAGAGUUUAGGAAAAAAAGAAAAUCCUGACAAAAAUCCCAACCUAAAAAACAGUGUCAACAUUUGUAAGUAGGAUGGGGAGGCAGAGAUGAAUUGGCAGUGUUAUCACAGCUACUGGACUAUGUGGACUUUAACAAAGUAAGAAACGGGUGGGGGUUGGGUGGUGGUAUCUUAAUAGAGCAGGAGUAGAGACGGAUGUCCUGGGGCAGAAUGGGUACCAAUGCUGCCUGAAGCCUGGAGCUGGGAGCUGAGGACUAAGAGGUAGACAGGAGGGUGGGGACCGGUACCUGCUCCAAGGAACUGGUGCCCCAGAACUGGUGAGCUGGGGUAUGCAUUUAGCUCAUUCGUUUACCAGAAUGCAGUCACCACCUGAUGAAAGAAAUGACUAAUGGCAGGACUUGAACAGUUCUCUAUAAAUGAGUACCUGGGAGAAAAACAGGUCUCCAGGCUCCACAAUACCCAAUAAACACACUGCCUUUAGCCCACUUCAAGCUGCACUUCUUACAUGGAACCCAACCCAACCAACCUCAGAGGUAAGGGUGAGAGCAGGCAAUGAACAGCUAUGAUUCUCCAUUCCCUGGCCAGGCAGGGAGCCUUUCCAUCCACCCUCGUGAGACUGCUUGUAACAGAAAUAAGGAAACCGACUCCAAGGCUCAGUAACCCACCCAAGGUCAGAACCACGGAGUGGCAGGGCCUGUGAGCCACAAAGGAGACUGAAAACCAGAAAGAGCUUCUCUCUGGUCUGUUAUUUUAAGAAAAACAUGCCCAGAGGGGCCACCUGGAAGCAAGGCUGUGUGGCACCCUCACCUUCCUAAUUAAACAACAACUUCCCAGGAGCAACGACAGCAACAACAGCCUGGCCCAGCAGAUGAACUCGAAUCAAUCCAAGCCCUUCCCCUAUACGGGUCAGUUUGGGCACUACUUUACCUGCUGUGAAGUCUACUGGGAUCUUCCAGGAAAGUCCCACCUCAUUAGUAAAAAGAAAAACAAAGACUCGGGAAGAAAGUUCCUGCCCUCCCUGUUGAAUGCUGUGUGAGGAUAAGAUGUCUGGAGCAUGGCAGUCACCCUGUGACUAUCAGAAGGCCAGGCGUACCACAAGGUGGUCAUUCCAGUGCUCUGAAUCAGCCCCAAACCACUUCCCUCAAGACUCAUGUUCUGAGGUGAUUAAAAGUGUGCUUUGAAGGUAAAUCUAGGAUGACAGUCAACAGAUCAGUGAUUGCCAGGAGUCAGGGGUAGAGGGAGGGAAGAACAGAUGGAGCACAGAGAAUUUUUAGGGCAGUGAAAAUGUUCUGUAUGAUACUAUAUAUAAUGGAUACAUGCCAUUAUACACUUGUCCAAAUGCACAGAAUGUACACCACCAAGAGUGAACCCUAAUGUAAACUAUGGACUUUGGGUGAUCAUGAUGUGUCAAUGCAGGUUCGUCAAUUGCAACACACGUACCAUUCUAGUGGGGGGUGUUGAUAACAGGAGGCUAUGCAUGUGUGGGACCAGGGGAUAUAUGGGAAAUCUCUGUACAUGCCUCUCAAUUUUGCUGAGAAUCUGAAACUGCUCUUAAUGAAGUCUUACAAAAAUAAAGAAGUCUGCUUUGCCUUAAAAAAAAAAAAAAAAAAAAAAAAAAAAAAA
This 2471-nucleotide long non-coding RNA is filed under the name Homo sapiens (human). Its description in RNAcentral is "SDCBP2 antisense RNA 1, transcript variant 2 (SDCBP2-AS1)". Lineage: Eukaryota; Metazoa; Chordata; Mammalia; Primates; Hominidae. The record is from RNAcentral.